GCCGGGCAUUGUGGCGGGUGCCUGUGGUCCCAGCUACUUGGGAGGCUGAGGCAGGAGACUCGCUUGAGCCCAGGAGUUGGAGGUUGCUGUGAGCAGUGAAGCCAUGGCACUCUACCCAGGGGCUCAGCUUGAGGCUCUGUCUCAAAAAAAAACAAGAACACAAGUUGUCUCUGGGAUAAAGAGAGCUUUUUUUUUCUUUUUUGAGACAGAGCCUCAAGCUGUUACACUGGGUAGAGUGCUUUGGCAUUAGUGCUCACAGCAACCUCCAACUCCUGGGCUCAAGCGAUUCUCCUGCCUCAG
Molecule: non-coding RNA, 300 nt
Organism: Otolemur garnettii (small-eared galago)
Lineage: Eukaryota; Metazoa; Chordata; Mammalia; Primates; Galagidae
Source: Rfam